GACGAACGCUGGCGGCGUGCUUAACACAUGCAAGUCGAACGGACAAGCCCAGCUUGCUGGGUGGAUUAGUGGCGAACGGGUGAGUAACACGUGAGCAACGUGCCCGAGACUCUGGAAUAACUAACGGAAACGGUGGCUAAUACAGGCCAUGUGCCAGGGAGGCAUCCCCUCUUGUUGGAAAGAUUUUUCGGUUUCGGAUCGGCUCACGGCCUAUCACCUUGUUUGUGGGGGAAUGGCCUACCAAGGCGACGACGGGUAGCCGGCCUGAGAGGGGGACCGGCCACACGGGGACUGAGACACGGCGCAGACUCCUACGGGCGGCAGCAGUGGGGAGUAUUGCACAAUGGGCGCAAGCCUGAUGCAGCAACGCCGCGUGAGGGAUGACGGCCUUCGGGUUGUAAACCUCUUUUAGUGGGGAAGAAGCGCAAGUGACGGUACCUGCAGAAAAAGCACCGGCUAACUACGUG
Molecule: ribosomal RNA, 467 nt
Filed under: uncultured bacterium
Lineage: Bacteria
Description: partial 16S ribosomal RNA
Rfam family: Bacterial small subunit ribosomal RNA
Source: RNAcentral